Molecule: transfer RNA, 85 nt
Filed under: Acidimicrobiia bacterium
Lineage: Bacteria; Bacillati; Actinomycetota; Acidimicrobiia
Description: tRNA-Ser
Rfam family: tRNA
About the family: Transfer RNA (tRNA) molecules are approximately 80 nucleotides in length. Their secondary structure includes four short double-helical elements and three loops (D, anti-codon, and T loops).
Source: RNAcentral
GGAGGGAUGGCAGAGCGGACGAAUGCGACGGUCUUGAAAACCGUUGGGCCUCACGGUCCCGCGGGUUCGAAUCCCGCUCCCUCCG